AUGGCAUUUGUAUUCCUCUGCCUCUCCUGGAAACGCUUCUCCAAUUCAAAAUUGCGUUUGGCUUGUAACCCGACGGUGGCUCUCCAACAGCUCCCGCCAUCCCGGCACACCGGGGAUCCUCCCGGGUCGCUGUUUUCCUUGCAGGCUGCCUCCUUGUACCCCCAAUCCAUCCUUGCUGAGCUGCUGCCACGGGAGUGUCUCUGUGCCAAAGCCAGCGGUGACCCCAGGACAGAUUUUUCCUUUCUCAAGGAAGUCAAAAGGUACCGGGGAAAUCCCAAACGGAGUGGAGCUCGGGGCUGGUGCUGGGUGAAGGUGGAUCGGCGCCGUGGUGACUUCCAGGCUGUCUCUGGAGCUGAAAGCCUCCGGUUCCCCGAUGUGCCCAAGCACCGCGGGGCGAGACCCGCAGGCUGCGCCGGGACGUGGGGUACACCCGGCUCUCCCCUCUCUGCUUUCUGCCCGAUGCUCGCGUGCUGUGGGAGAAGAAACCAGGCGUUGGAGCUCCUCGUCUGGAAGCAUCGAGCCAUUUGGGGAAAAGCCAGCUCAGCUCUGGACCCCUGCAUCCCCGUGUGCACAGUGCUGGAGGUCGCCGUGCGCCCCACGAGGGGCACCAGCACCCUCCGACCCCGGUGCCACUGUGCCAGCUUCAUCCCAUCCCUCCUCAUCCUCACGGAGCACCCUCCUGGCAUCACCAUGUGGGUGCCCCUCUGCCAGGUGCGUGUGUGGCUGCAAGGAGUUUUUGGGGUUUUCACCCCCGUUUGGUGA
This is a long non-coding RNA of Cairina moschata (Muscovy duck), 762 nucleotides long. The record is from Ensembl. NCBI's taxonomy places the organism in Eukaryota, Metazoa, Chordata, Aves, Anseriformes, Anatidae.